RNAcentral lists this non-coding RNA (253 nucleotides) under uncultured bacterium. Its description in RNAcentral is "partial 16S ribosomal RNA". It matches the Rfam family "Bacterial small subunit ribosomal RNA", at positions 524 to 776 of the family's 1533-position model. The record is from RNAcentral. RNAcentral also lists the same sequence under 1 other name.
UACGGAGGGUGCAAGCGUUAUCCGGAUUCACUGGGUUUAAAGGGUGUGUAGGCGGAUAUUUAAGUCAGUGGUGAAAUCUCCGGGCUCAACCCGGAAACUGCCAUUGAUACUAUUUAUCUUGAAUUUUGUUGAGGUAGGCGGAAUACAUCAUGUAGCGGUGAAAUGCUUAGAGAUGAUGUAGAACACCGAUUGCGAAGGCAGCUUACUAAACAGAUAUUGACGCUGAGGCACGAAAGCGUGGGGAUCAAACAGG